Molecule: ribosomal RNA, 465 nt
Filed under: uncultured bacterium
Lineage: Bacteria
Description: partial 16S ribosomal RNA
Rfam family: Bacterial small subunit ribosomal RNA
Source: RNAcentral
CCUACGGGGGGCAGCAGUGGGGAAUUUUGCGCAAUGCUCGUAAGAGUGACGCAGCGACGCCGCGUGAAUGACGAAGGCCUUCGGGUCGUAAAGUUCUUUCGACAGGGACGAAAAUGCCUAUAAGUAACUGUGUAUGUAUUGACGGUACCUGUAUAAGCAGCCCCGGCUAACUCCGUGCCAGCAGCCGCGGUAAUACGGAGGGGGCGAGCGUUGUUCGGAGGGACUGGGCGUAAAGAGCACGUAGGCGGUGUUGUAAGUCAUUAGUCAAAGACUAGAGCUAAACGUUAGUAAGGCUAGUGAUACUAUAAUACUAGAGUAUAAGAGAGGAUUGCAGAAUUCCUGGUGUAGCGGUGAAAUGCGUAGAUAUCAGGAGGAAUACCGUUAGCGAAGGCGGCAAUCUGGCUGGAAACUGACGCUGAGGUGCGAAAGCGUGGGUAGCAAACAGGAUUAGAUACCCUGGUAGUC